GUGGGCGUAGCUUAGCGGCUAAAGCGUCGCUCUGUGGCAGCGAAGAUCGCGGGUUCAAAUCCCGUCGCUCACCCCA
This 76-nucleotide transfer RNA is filed under the name Candidatus Wildermuthbacteria bacterium RIFCSPHIGHO2_02_FULL_47_12. RNAcentral's name for it is "tRNA-His". It matches the Rfam family "tRNA". From Rfam's summary of the family: Transfer RNA (tRNA) molecules are approximately 80 nucleotides in length. Their secondary structure includes four short double-helical elements and three loops (D, anti-codon, and T loops). The record is from RNAcentral. Lineage: Bacteria; Candidatus Wildermuthiibacteriota.